AGGCUUUUGGUGUAACGGCUAACACAUCGGUCUCCAAAACCGUAAGAUUUCGGUUCGAAUCCGAAGGAGCCUG
RNAcentral lists this transfer RNA (73 nucleotides) under Lachnospiraceae bacterium. RNAcentral's name for it is "tRNA-Trp". It matches the Rfam family "tRNA". Rfam says of the family: Transfer RNA (tRNA) molecules are approximately 80 nucleotides in length. Their secondary structure includes four short double-helical elements and three loops (D, anti-codon, and T loops). Further hydrogen bonds mediate the characteristic L-shaped molecular structure. tRNAs have two regions of fundamental functional importance: the anti-codon, which is responsible for specific mRNA codon recognition, and the 3' end, to which the tRNAs corresponding amino acid is attached (by aminoacyl-tRNA synthetases). tRNAs cope with the degeneracy of the genetic code in two manners: having more than one tRNA (with a specific anti-codon) for a particular amino acid; and 'wobble' base-pairing, i.e. permitting non-standard base-pairing at the 3rd anti-codon position. Lineage: Bacteria; Bacillati; Bacillota; Clostridia; Lachnospirales; Lachnospiraceae. The record is from RNAcentral.